RNAcentral lists this ribosomal RNA (878 nucleotides) under Monilinia laxa. RNAcentral describes it as "LSU rRNA". It matches the Rfam family "Eukaryotic large subunit ribosomal RNA", at positions 38 to 934 of the family's 3401-position model. The record is from RNAcentral. Lineage: Eukaryota; Fungi; Ascomycota; Leotiomycetes; Helotiales; Sclerotiniaceae.
GCAUAUCAAUAAGCGGAGGAAAAGAAACCAACAGGGAUUACCUCAGUAACGGCGAGUGAAGCGGUAAAAGCUCAAAUUUGAAAUCUGGCUCUUUUAGAGUCCGAGUUGUAAUUUGUAGAAGAUGCUUCGGGUGUGGUUCCGGUCUAAGUUCCUUGGAACAGGACGUCAUAGAGGGUGAGAAUCCCGUAUGUGACUGGAUACCUAUGCUCAUGUGAAGCUCUUUCGACGAGUCGAGUUGUUUGGGAAUGCAGCUCAAAAUGGGUGGUAUAUUUCAUCUAAAGCUAAAUAUUGGCCAGAGACCGAUAGCGCACAAGUAGAGUGAUCGAAAGAUGAAAAGCACUUUGGAAAGAGAGUUAAACAGUACGUGAAAUUGUUGAAAGGGAAGCGCUUGCAAUCAGACUUGCACUUGGUGUUCAUCGGGGUUUCUACCCCGUGUACUUCAUCAAGUUCAGGCCAGCAUCAGUUUGGGUGGUUAGAUAAAGGCUUAGAGAAUGUGGCCCUCUUCGGGGGGUGUUAUAGCUCUAGGUGCAAUGUAGCCUACCUGGACUGAGGACCGCGCUUCGGCUAGGAUGCUGGCGUAAUGGUUGUAAGCGACCCGUCUUGAAACACGGACCAAGGAGUGUACCUAAUAUGCGAGUGUUUGGGUGUUAAACCCAUACGCGUAAUGAAAGUGAACGGAGGUGAGAGCCCUUAAGGGUGCAUCAUCGACCGAUCCUGAUGUCUUCGGAUGGAUUUGAGUAAGAGCAUAUUGGGUGCGACCCGAAAGAUGGUGAUCUAUACGUGAAUAGGGUGAAGCCAGAGGAAACUCUGGUSGAGGCUCGCAGCGGYUCUGMCGYGCMAAUCGAUCSUCAAMUYUGCGYAYAGGGGCGAAAGACUAA